RNAcentral lists this ribosomal RNA (440 nucleotides) under uncultured bacterium. Its description in RNAcentral is "partial 16S ribosomal RNA". It matches the Rfam family "Bacterial small subunit ribosomal RNA", at positions 338 to 795 of the family's 1533-position model. The record is from RNAcentral.
CCUACGGGAGGCAGCAGUGAGGAAUAUUGCACAAUGGGGGAAACCCUGAUGCAGCGACGCCGCGUGAGUGAAGAUGUAAUUCGUUAUGUAAAGCUCUAUCGGCAGGGAAGAAAAUGACGUUACCUGAGUAAGAAGCCACGGCUAACUACGUGCCAGCAGCCGCGGUAAUACGUAGGGGGCACGCGUUAAUCGGAAUUACUGGGCGUAAAGCGCUCGUAGGCGGUAUGGCAAGUCCAGGGUGAAAUGCCCGCGCUCAACGUGGGAACUGCAUUUGAAACUGGCAAACUGGAGUGUGUGAGAGGAUAGUGGAAUUCCAGGUGUAGGAGUGAAAUCCGUAGAUAUCUGGAGGAACAUCAGUGGCGAAGGCGACUAUCUGGCACAUAACUGACGCUGAGGAGCGAAAGCGUGGGUAGCAAACAGGAUUAGAUACCCGUGUAGUC